UUCCUGAAAUGCAGACGGGUUAUAUUCAUCUGCAUAUCGGGAAUUCACUUGGGAUCGCGACCACGGAUGUACUGGCGUAACUCAGGUGAAAGCGGAAGGUCGGGUUCAACCCGGCCUUUUUCGCUU
This 126-nucleotide small RNA is filed under the name Brucella pecoris. Its description in RNAcentral is "Ochrobactrum pecoris sRNA ar35". Lineage: Bacteria; Pseudomonadati; Pseudomonadota; Alphaproteobacteria; Hyphomicrobiales; Brucellaceae. The record is from RNAcentral.